GCGUGCGUUUGGGGGGCGUUUGGUGAAAGCCAAGGCUUAGGGUUCAAGCUAGCUCCUCAGACUCUGC
RNAcentral lists this non-coding RNA (67 nucleotides) under unclassified sequences. RNAcentral's name for it is "RT-13 RNA". It matches the Rfam family "RT-13 RNA". Rfam says of the family: Alphaproteobacteria. Nearby to self-splicing intron genes The record is from Rfam by way of RNAcentral.